CAGUCGCCGCGGUAAUACGUAGGGGGCAAGCGUUAUCCGGAAUUACUGGGUGUAAAGGGAGCGUAGACGGUUAAACAAGUCUGAAGUGAAAUGCCGGGGCUCAACCCCGGAGCUGCUUUGGGAACUGAAGAACUGGAGUGUCGGAGGGGUAAGCGGAAUUCCCAGUGUAGCGGUGAAAUGCGUAGAUAUUGGGAGGAACACCGGCGGCGAAGGCGGCUUACUGGACGACAACUGACGUUGAGGCUCGAAGGCGUGGGUAGCAAACAGGAUUAGAUACCCCUGUAGUCCCUGUCUCUUAUAC
This 301-nucleotide ribosomal RNA is filed under the name uncultured bacterium. RNAcentral's name for it is "partial 16S ribosomal RNA". It matches the Rfam family "Bacterial small subunit ribosomal RNA", at positions 509 to 807 of the family's 1533-position model. The record is from RNAcentral.